This 658-nucleotide long non-coding RNA is filed under the name Rattus norvegicus (Norway rat). Its description in RNAcentral is "long non-coding RNA NONRATT005364". The record is from RNAcentral. Lineage: Eukaryota; Metazoa; Chordata; Mammalia; Rodentia; Muridae.
GAAGAUGGAGGGUGGCAAGGUGGUGGCAGACUUCCCCAACUAUCACCAGACUUCGGAGGUCGUGGGUGACAAGUUGGUGGAGGUGAGUGUGCAAAGGUUCCUACUAUUUCUAUUUUUUUUUUUUUUUUCAUUUUUUUUCGGAGCUGGGGACCGAACCCAGGACCUUGCGCUUGCUAGGCAAGCGCUCUACCACUGAGCUAAAUCCCCAACCCCCCUACUAUUUCUAUUUUAAAGGGGCGCCUGCUGAGGCUCAGGGACAGCCCGUGGCUUGCCUCAGGUCACACAGCUAGUACACCAUGGAGGCAAGACCAGCUGACUUCUGGAGGAUGUUCUCAGCCUCUCCUAGAGGAUAUAGGGCAUAAGGAAAAGAACCAAAGUUAGUGUCUUCUGCUCUGGGUGAAAACUGGCCCGUUGGAAGAUUUGAUGAGAGCACCUUUUGAUUUGAUUUGAAUACUUUUCCGUGGUGAAAUGUCAGUCUGUAGGUCUUGAUUUGCAAAGCAAUGUUCCCCAGCCUGAGGUGUGCAGGGAGAGCUGAGGGCAGGAGACAUGGAGCAGCAGGUUUGUGUUCACAAGACUUAAUCUUCAAACAAUGAGCCAACCCUCAGUUUGCCCCUCUGUAUAAUGGGAACAACUGGGGCUCUUGGGAAUUAGAGAUGGA